GCACCACUAGUAUAGUGGUUAGUAUACUUGGCUUCCAACCAGGUGAGAUGGGUUCGAAUCCCAUGUGGUGCUA
This 73-nucleotide transfer RNA is filed under the name Bacteriophage sp. RNAcentral describes it as "tRNA-Gly". It matches the Rfam family "tRNA". Rfam says of the family: Transfer RNA (tRNA) molecules are approximately 80 nucleotides in length. Their secondary structure includes four short double-helical elements and three loops (D, anti-codon, and T loops). Further hydrogen bonds mediate the characteristic L-shaped molecular structure. tRNAs have two regions of fundamental functional importance: the anti-codon, which is responsible for specific mRNA codon recognition, and the 3' end, to which the tRNAs corresponding amino acid is attached (by aminoacyl-tRNA synthetases). tRNAs cope with the degeneracy of the genetic code in two manners: having more than one tRNA (with a specific anti-codon) for a particular amino acid; and 'wobble' base-pairing, i.e. permitting non-standard base-pairing at the 3rd anti-codon position. RNAcentral also lists the same sequence under 1 other name. The record is from RNAcentral.